CGUAGGUGGCAAGCGUUGUCCGGAAUUAUUGGGCGUAAAGCGCGCGCAGGUGGUCCUUUAAGUCUGAUGUGAAAGCCCACGGCUCAACCGUGGAGGGUCAUUGGAAACUGGGGGACUUGAGUGCAGAAGAGGAUAGUGGAAUUCCAAGUGUAGCGGUGAAAUGCGUAGAGAUUUGGAGGAACACCAGUGGCGAAGGCGACUAUCUGGUCUGUAACUGACACUGAGGCGCGAAAGCGUGGGGAGCAAACAGGAUUAGAUACCCUGGUAGUCCACGCCGUAAACGAUGAGUGCUAAGUGUUGGGGGGUUUCCGCCCCUCAGUGCUGCAGCUAACGCAUUAAGCACUCCGCCUGGGGAGUACGGUCGCAAGACUG
Molecule: ribosomal RNA, 372 nt
Filed under: uncultured organism
Description: bacterial SSU rRNA
Rfam family: Bacterial small subunit ribosomal RNA
Source: RNAcentral